RNAcentral lists this transfer RNA (72 nucleotides) under Camelus bactrianus (Bactrian camel). It matches the Rfam family "tRNA". From Rfam's summary of the family: Transfer RNA (tRNA) molecules are approximately 80 nucleotides in length. Lineage: Eukaryota; Metazoa; Chordata; Mammalia; Artiodactyla; Camelidae. The record is from Rfam by way of RNAcentral. RNAcentral also lists the same sequence under 2 other names.
GGGGGUAUAGCUCAGUGGUAAAGUGCGUGUUUUGCAUGUGCGAGGUGCUGGGUUCAAUAUCCAGUACCUCCA